Molecule: ribosomal RNA, 470 nt
Filed under: uncultured Caulobacter sp.
Lineage: Bacteria; Pseudomonadati; Pseudomonadota; Alphaproteobacteria; Caulobacterales; Caulobacteraceae
Description: bacterial SSU rRNA
Rfam family: Bacterial small subunit ribosomal RNA
Source: RNAcentral
GACGGGUGAGUAACGCGUGGGAAUAUGCCCUAUGGUGCGGAACAACUGAGGGAAACUUCAGCUAAUACCGCAUGUGCCCUACGGGGGAAAGAUUUAUCGCCAUAGGAGUAGCCCGCGUUGGAUUAGUUUGUUGGUGAGGUAAUGGCUCACCAAGACUACGAUCCAUAGCUGGUCUGAGAGGAUGAUCAGCCACACUGGGACUGAGACACGGCCCAGACUCCUACGGGAGGCAGCAGUAGGGAAUCUUGCGCAAUGGGCGAAAGCCUGACGCAGCCAUGCCGCGUGAAUGAUGAAGGUCUUAGGAUUGUAAAAUUCUUUCACCGGGGACGAUAAUGACGGUACCCGGAGAAGAAGCUCCGGCUAACUUCGUGCCAGCAGCCGCGGUAAUACGAAGGGGGCUAGCGUUGCUCGGAAUUACUGGGCGUAAAGGGCGCGUAGGCGGACAGUUUAGUCAGAGGUGAAAGCCCAGG